This 1287-nucleotide ribosomal RNA is filed under the name metagenome. Its description in RNAcentral is "bacterial SSU rRNA". It matches the Rfam family "Bacterial small subunit ribosomal RNA", at positions 242 to 1520 of the family's 1533-position model. The record is from RNAcentral.
UAGCUAGUUGGUGAGGUAAAGGCUUACCAAGGCGACGAUCUGUAGCGGGUCUGAGAGGAUGAUCCGCCACACUGGAACUGAGACACGGUCCAGACUCCUACGGGAGGCAGCAGUGGGGAAUUUUGGACAAUGGGGGCAACCCUGAUCCAGCCAUGCCGCGUGAGUGAAGAAGGCCUUCGGGUUGUAAAGCUCUUUCGGCCGGGAAGAAAUCGCAUGGGCCAAUACCCUGUGUGGAUGACGGUACCGGAAUAAGAAGCACCGGCUAACUACGUGCCAGCAGCCGCGGUAAUACGUGGGGUGCGAGCGUUAAUCGGAAUUACUGGGCGUAAAGCGUGCGCAGGCGGUUUUGUAAGACAGGCGUGAAAUCCCCGGGCUUAACCUGGGAACUGCGUUUGUGACUGCAAGGCUAGAGUACGGCAGAGGGGGGUGGAAUUCCACGUGUAGCAGUGAAAUGCGUAGAGAUGUGGAGGAACACCAAUGGCGAAGGCAGCCCCCUGGGUCGAUACUGACGCUCAUGCACGAAAGCGUGGGUAGCAAACAGGAUUAGAUACCCUGGUAGUCCACGCCCUAAACUAUGUCAACUAGGUGUUGGGUGGGUAAAACCAUUUAGUACCGUAGCUAACGCGUGAAGUUGACCGCCUGGGGAGUACGGCCGCAAGGUUAAAACUCAAAGGAAUUGACGGGGACCCGCACAAGCGGUGGAUGAUGUGGAUUAAUUCGAUGCAACGCGAAAAACCUUACCUACCCUUGACAUGCCAGGAACUUGCCAGAGAUGGCUUGGUGCCCGAAAGGGAGCCUGGACACAGGCGCUGCAUGGCUGUCGUCAGCUCGUGUCGUGAGAUGUUGGGUUAAGUCCCGCAACGAGCGCAACCCUUGUCGUUAAUUGCCAUCAUUUAGUUGGGCACUUUAACGAGACUGCCGGUGACAAACCGGAGGAAGGUGGGGAUGACGUCAAGUCCUCAUGGCCCUUAUGGGUAGGGCUUCACACGUCAUACAAUGGUCGGUACAAAGGGUUGCCAAGCCGCGAGGCGGAGCCAAUCCCAGAAAGCCGAUCGUAGUCCGGAUUGCAGGCUGCAACUCGCCUGCAUGAAGUCGGAAUCGCUAGUAAUCGUGGAUCAGCAUGUCACGGUGAAUACGUUCCCGGGUCUUGUACACACCGCCCGUCACACCAUGGGAGCGGGUUCCGCCAGAAGUAGGUAGCCUAACCGCAAGGGGGGCGCUUACCACGGCGGGGUUCGUGACUGGGGUGAAGUCGAAACAAGGUAGCCGUAGGGGAACCUGCGGCUG